AUUUACGGCCAUACCACCCUGAACACGCCCGAUCUCGUCUGAUCUCGGAAACUAAGCAGGGUCGGGCCUGGUUAGUACUUGGAUGGGAGACCGCCUGGGAAUACCACGUGUUGUAGGCU
RNAcentral lists this ribosomal RNA (119 nucleotides) under Pelobates cultripes (western spadefoot toad). The record is from RNAcentral. Lineage: Eukaryota; Metazoa; Chordata; Amphibia; Anura; Pelobatidae.